AGACGUCUACAUUAGAUACCCCCGUAGUCCCAGCCGUAAACUAUGCGCGUUAGGUGUAUCGGUGACCACGAGUUACCGAGGUGCCGAAGGGAAACCGUGAAACGUGCCGCCUGGGAAGUACGGUCGCAAGGCUGAAACUUAAAGGAAUUGGCGGGGGAGCACUACAACAGGUGGAGCCUGCGGUUUAAUUGGACUCAACGCCGGGAAGCUCACCGGAUAGGACAGCAGAAUGAUUGCCGGGCUGAAGACUCUGCAUGACUAGCUG
RNAcentral lists this ribosomal RNA (265 nucleotides) under uncultured archaeon. RNAcentral describes it as "partial 16S ribosomal RNA". It matches the Rfam family "Archaeal small subunit ribosomal RNA", at positions 714 to 982 of the family's 1478-position model. The record is from RNAcentral.